UAAAUGUUUAUAUUAAAUUUCAGACAUAGUUUUCUCAGAUGAAACUCUGAUCCUGAUUAGAAAAUAGCACCAAAGAAACACCCAAGAAACUGCAUUAAGUUUUCACCUAUCAUUUACACCUUAUAGUUUAUUUGACCGUGUUCACAUCCUUAUAAUUAAGUUAAACUCUUUGCACUUUUAUAGUACUCAACUUUUGGUUCAAUAGUGACCGUUGGGGCAAUGACCGGCUCCAUUGUAAGCGGUAAAAUAGCAGAUUAUGCAGGUCGCCGAGUUGUAAGUUAAAGCCAGGCUACACUUAAUUUUAAUUUCAAUGUUUCUGUUGUUUACCAUUGGUUACUUUGCAUUCUGAUGUGCAGACCAUGGGUUUCUCAGAGGUUUGCCAUUAAUUUCUUCCCAGAUUUCUCUUGCUUGAAUUGCAGGCAUGUCAAGGAAUUAACUAUAUAUGAGGCUUGUUAUCAGACAAAGAAAAAUAUUUUUCUCUUCGGUCUCAAAUAUAAAAAAGAAAAAAAAUAAAAUUCUUGAAAAUUUUUAACUAAUUCUAUCACAUUUAAUGCUAUUAUCUCUAAAAUAUCCUUCAUUUAAUUGAGAUUUUUUUUUUUUUAUCUCUGAUAUGAGGAUCUAAUGAAGGGUAAGUUUGGAAAAUUUUAGUUUUUAAUUGAGAUCAGUACAAUUAAAUGUGGUUAAUUAACUUUUUAGUAACUACAGUAUAGCGUUAAUUUGUUAAUUUUGGGGUUAAUUUCCUUAAAUUCAGUCUUUGAUAUCAAACAUUUCGUGUUUGAAGGAUGCUUGAUGGCUUUACAUUGGAAGACUGUUGAUAGGGUGUGGGAUUGGCCUGAUUUCUUAUGAGAUUCCAGUCUAUAUAGCAGAAAUAAGCACCCAAGAUUUUUCUAGGAGCAUUUACUGAAGUUCAUCAGUUCAUGGGUUGUUGUGGGUUGUCAUUAAGUUACCUUAUUGGAGCAUUUUUGAAUUGGAGGAUUUUGGCUUUGAUUGGUAAUAUUAUUCUUUUUGUCGCUCUUUUCACAAAACAAACUUAAAAAGGGUUCCGUGUAACUCACAUCAUUUUUUGUAUUUAUCUCGGGAACUAUCUCGUGUCUUUUUCAGCUUCUGACUCUCCCCUUUAUCCCUGAUUCUCCCAGGUGGCUGGUGAGUAUGAGAGUUGUUCAUAGCUUCUGGAAUUUUGUUGUUUGGGAACUAUAUGCAUGCUGGACACAGAUCAUACAAGCAACUGAAUUUUUUCCUCACUUUGGUCAAAUGAUUAGAGUCAGCACAUCUCAUUAGAUAAACCUAGCACAAGUGAUAAAUGUAAUCU
Molecule: long non-coding RNA, 1309 nt
Organism: Glycine soja
Lineage: Eukaryota; Viridiplantae; Streptophyta; Magnoliopsida; Fabales; Fabaceae
Exons: 3
Source: RefSeq, a predicted model, not a curated record